This 2823-nucleotide long non-coding RNA is filed under the name Nicotiana benthamiana. Its description in RNAcentral is "long non-coding RNA (NBEN_LNC025952)". The record is from RNAcentral. Lineage: Eukaryota; Viridiplantae; Streptophyta; Magnoliopsida; Solanales; Solanaceae.
UUGAUUUUUUUUAAUUUUUGAAAAGAAAUACUUUUAAUGAAUAAAGGAAAUAUUUUUUUUUUGGAAUUUUAUUUCGAAUUUAUUAAAGAAAUGCUUCUAAAGAAAAAGAAAAUAUUUCUGAAUCUUGAAUUUUCUUUUUAAUUUUUGAAAGAAGAAUGAAAAUAUUUUUGAAUUUUGAGAGAGAUUAAAAGAAAAUAUUUUUGUAUUUUUAUUUAAAAUUAUGGUAUAAAAUAAAGAAUUUCUAAAGUAGGAGCUAAAGGAAAAUAAUUUUUGAAUUUGUUUUUGAAAAUUGUGGGCCAGAACCGAUGAGGUUUGCCUAUGUAUCUGACAUUCAGUGAGAAUCAGAACCGUGAAGUUCACCUAGUUUUGGUAUAAUUGGAAAAAUAUGAAAUUGACUCACUUUUAAUUUUUUUUCGACAUACAUUUUCCUUUAUUUUUAAAAAAAUAUUUUGGCACAGUUUCAAGACAUUUUUAAUACCAGGGUUUGUAGAACCGGGUGAAUCCUCUAUUCUACCUCACUCUUGGUAUUUUGUUAUUUUUCUUUCCUUUGCCGGUCAACAUACAAGCUGAAGCAAAUAAAUGUACAAACCGCAGGCAAGAUGCAUCAGGACAGUCUUUCAUUUUGAGUACACUUGUUCUAGACGGACUCUACCCCUGUGUUGAGUUCCCGAAUUCAAAUGUACGUAUGCAAACAAACGUUUCAAUUAGGGAUCCAGAAUGAGGUCAUGUUGUUCUAGGUUUAAACCUGGGGUUGUGUUCUAGACUUUGGUGACCCGAGUAGACAACUGGCGCCGAAGAGGAGGGGCAAAGUACCGGGAGCACUAAAGUCUACCCGACCUUGUUGCUGACCCAGCUUCGUACUAUUUGGUAUGAUUUCUACAAAAAAAAAAGUGAGUCACUCGAACAUGUGCACCAUUUUUAAAAGAUUCAGAGGGGCAGCAUAAGAAGACAGUUAUAUACAAUUCACAUAAUAUUAAAACGGUAACAAAUAGAAUUUAGCACAAACUGUUCACAGAAUACAGUAACAAUAAAUGAAGCCAAGUAUAAAUCAUAUUAUCAAGAUCGGAUUCUGAACCCUGAACUAGAGAUUUUGGUUUCGUUCCCCUGCAGAGUCGCUAGAGCAGUCACACCUCUUUUUUACACACCCGUAAGGGAGUAUAAGAGAGUUUUUUUCAAUUUAAGUGACAAUCGAAAUAAGAUGAUUUAUUUAAAAUUUAGAGUCGUCACUUGGGAUAAUAUAGUGUCCCAAGUUACCGGUUAAAAUCUCAAACCGAGGAAGUUUGACUCUAUUCACGGUCUGCGAACACAAAAAUCCGGAUAAGGAAUUCUAUUAAUCCGGGAGAAGGUGUUAGGAAUUUUUGAGUUCCAUGAUUAGCAUAUUCAUUUUGAUCCUACUUGGCUUAAUCAAGUUAUCUAAUUACUGAUUUUAGAACCUAUGUGCGCUUACCUUUUAUCGUUUUUAAAAUUAAGAAAAUUAUCUUGAAACGAGUCACGCCUACAUGUACCAAUUUAUUUGGUGCGUCAAAAAUCAUAUUACGCGAAUGUAUCCACAAUUAAUAACACUGUAUUAUUAUUAAGAAAAUUUGAAUGAUGUUGCGCGAACGCAUACUCCAGUUUUAUUUUUAGAAAUCGUAAUCAUGUCAUGCGAGCAUGUACACAACCAUAAUGAUUAAUUAAAAUUAUACCUACCAACUUGAGAUUAUUGUGAGACCAUGAAUUUAUGAAAUAAGUGUGGGAAAAAAAAAGGCCAGCAACAUAUUCACUACUUUGAGCCUUAGCGAAAUUAAAAUUGGCCACCGAUAAAUAUGUUGAAGGCCUUUAAUCCAAAUAAAGUGUUACACCUAAUAUGUCCCAACCAAUUUUCAUUAAAUUACUAAAAAUUGUACUUUAAAUUAAAGAACUAGUACUUGAAGCUAGACCAAGAUCAUAGGCGUGAAUAGAUGGAUAUCGAUAGAGCAAAAAUGAUCUCAAAAAUGAAGAUUAAAUGAAAUCAAAGCGUGAUGAAAAUAGACAGCCAUUAAUUCAUUGUAGAAACUUGUUAUAAAUUAAUUUCACAUGCUAUUUUCCCCAUAAAACAAAUUUACCACAAAGAAAAUAACUCAUAUAUACCGUAACAAGAAAAGUAACAAAUUCAUACAAAUUUAUCGAUGAUAUUAACAUUAUGUACUACCAAAAGGGACAAUAGACCAAUUUUAAAAUAUACUCAACAGGAGAACAAAUCAAUCUUAACACACUUAGAUGCAAAUUUGAUAAUUAAAUCAACACACAAUGACCCAGAACAAUAAUGAAAAAACAAAAUAGAAAGAGAAACGAACCUUUGUAUUGACGAGUGUGAAUUUAAAUUACAACAACUUAACAGUUCGGACAACUUCCAAUUGGACACUUCGAGUGCGAAAACCUCAGACUACAACCUCGACGAUGAUUCAAACCAGCUUCAAAUCUCAUCUUACAGCUUAAUUUUGUUGUGACUUUUCCUCUUGAAAUCGGAUUAAAAACUGAAAGUCACACGAAUUUCAAAAAAAGAAAAAAAACUACCUAGUCUUGAUCCUUCUUUUUCAUCACCAUAUGAAUGAGAAAGAAAAGAAACAUGUUACUGCAUAUCUUUAUAUAUGGUCAUGGCUUAACUUAGAUAUGACUUCAAAAUGUGAAAGGAAAAGAAAUUAAAAGAGAGCGGCCGGCCAAGAAAGCAAUUUGUUUUUUUGGUUAUAAACCAGAUGUGGUGUUGUGGUAUCUUUCUCUUUUAGAGAUGGCCGUUCUUAGCUGGUGUUGGAGAUCGGAUUGAAGGGGAAAAAAUGGGAUCUUUUUUGGAGUGGGUUGCCGCUU